GGGAAAGAUUCAUCGGUAUGGGAUGGGGUCGCGUCCUAUCAGCUUGAUGGCGGGGUAACGGCCCACCAUGGCUUCGACGGGUAGCCGGCCUGAGAGGGCGACCGGCCACAUUGGGACUGAGAUACGGCCCAGACUCCUACGGGAGGCAGCAGUGGGGAAUAUUGCACAAUGGGCGCAAGCCUGAUGCAGCGACGCCGCGUGCGGGAUGACGGCCUUCGGGUUGUAAACCGCUUUUGACUGGGAGCAAGCCCUUCGGGGUGAGUGUACCUUUCGAAUAAGCACCGGCUAACUACGUGCCAGCAGCCGCGGUAAUACGUAGGGUGCAAGCGUUAUCCGGAAUUAUUGGGCGUAAAGGGCUCGUAGGCGGUUCGUCGCGUCCGGUGUGAAAGUCCAUCGCUUAACGGUGGAUCCGCGCCGGGUACGGGCGGGCUUGAGUGCGGUAGGGGAGACUGGAAUUCCCGGUGUAACGGUGGAAUGUGUAGAUAUCGGAAAAGAACACCA
RNAcentral lists this ribosomal RNA (501 nucleotides) under Bifidobacterium adolescentis. Its description in RNAcentral is "bacterial SSU rRNA". It matches the Rfam family "Bacterial small subunit ribosomal RNA", at positions 200 to 711 of the family's 1533-position model. The record is from RNAcentral. Lineage: Bacteria; Bacillati; Actinomycetota; Actinomycetes; Bifidobacteriales; Bifidobacteriaceae.